RNAcentral lists this transfer RNA (88 nucleotides) under Odoribacter laneus YIT 12061. RNAcentral's name for it is "tRNA-Leu". It matches the Rfam family "tRNA". Rfam says of the family: Transfer RNA (tRNA) molecules are approximately 80 nucleotides in length. Their secondary structure includes four short double-helical elements and three loops (D, anti-codon, and T loops). Further hydrogen bonds mediate the characteristic L-shaped molecular structure. tRNAs have two regions of fundamental functional importance: the anti-codon, which is responsible for specific mRNA codon recognition, and the 3' end, to which the tRNAs corresponding amino acid is attached (by aminoacyl-tRNA synthetases). tRNAs cope with the degeneracy of the genetic code in two manners: having more than one tRNA (with a specific anti-codon) for a particular amino acid; and 'wobble' base-pairing, i.e. permitting non-standard base-pairing at the 3rd anti-codon position. Lineage: Bacteria; Pseudomonadati; Bacteroidota; Bacteroidia; Bacteroidales; Odoribacteraceae. The record is from RNAcentral. RNAcentral also lists the same sequence under 1 other name.
GCUCAGGUGGCGGAAUUGGUAGACGCGCUGGACUCAAAAUCCAGUGUCCUCAACAGACGUGCGGGUUCGAUUCCCGCUCUGAGUACUA